ACCUUACCUGGCCUUGACAUCCACGGAAUUCGGCAGAGAUGCCUUAGUGCCUUCGGGAACCGUGAGACAGGUGCUGCAUGGCUGUCGUCAGCUCGUGUUGUGAAAUGUUGGGUUAAGUCCCGCAACGAGCGCAACCCUUAUCCUUUGUUGCCAGCGAUUCGGUCGGGAACUCAAAGGAGACUGCCGGUGAUAAACCGGAGGAAGGUGGGGAUGACGUCAAGUCAUCAUGGCCCUUACGGCCAGGGCUACACACGUGCUACAAUGGCGCAUACAAAGAGAAGCGAACUCGCGAGAGCAAGCGGACCUCAUAAAGUGCGUCGUAGUCCGGAUCGGAGUCUGCAACUCGACUCCGUGAAGUCGGAAUCGCUAGUAAUCGUGGAUCAGAAUGCCACGGUGAAUACGUUCCCGGGCCUUGUACACACCGCCCGUCACACCAUGGGAGUGGGUUGCAAAAGAAGUAGGUAGC
This 466-nucleotide ribosomal RNA is filed under the name Erwinia persicina. Its description in RNAcentral is "bacterial SSU rRNA". It matches the Rfam family "Bacterial small subunit ribosomal RNA", at positions 968 to 1434 of the family's 1533-position model. The record is from RNAcentral. Lineage: Bacteria; Pseudomonadati; Pseudomonadota; Gammaproteobacteria; Enterobacterales; Erwiniaceae.